RNAcentral lists this ribosomal RNA (792 nucleotides) under uncultured Lactobacillus sp. RNAcentral's name for it is "bacterial SSU rRNA". It matches the Rfam family "Bacterial small subunit ribosomal RNA", at positions 28 to 776 of the family's 1533-position model. Lineage: Bacteria; Bacillati; Bacillota; Bacilli; Lactobacillales; Lactobacillaceae. The record is from RNAcentral.
GAUGAACGCCGGCGGUGUGCCUAAUACAUGCAAGUCGAACGCGUUGGCCCAAUUGAUUGAUGGUGCUUGCACCUGAUUGAUUUUGGUUGCCAGCGAGUGGCGGACGGGUGAGUAACACGUAGGUAACCUGCCCAGAAGUGGGGGACAACAUUUGGAAACAGAUGCUAAUACCGCAUAACAACGUUGUUCGCAUGAACAACGCUUAAAAGAUGGCUUCUCGCUAUCACUUCUGGAUGGACCUGCGGUGCAUUAGCUUGUUGGUGGGGUAACGGCCUACCAAGGCGAUGAUGCAUAGCCGAGUUGAGAGACUGAUCGGCCACAAUGGGACUGAGACACGGCCCAUACUCCUACGGGAGGCAGCAGUAGGGAAUCUUCCACAAUGGGCGCAAGCCUGAUGGAGCAACACCGCGUGAGUGAAGAAGGGUUUCGGCUCGUAAAGCUCUGUUGUUAAAGAAGAACACGUAUGAGAGUAACUGUUCAUACGUUGACGGUAUUUAACCAGAAAGUCACGGCUAACUACGUGCCAGCAGCCGCGGUAAUACGUAGGUGGCAAGCGUUAUCCGGAUUUAUUGGGCGUAAAGAGAGUGCAGGCGGUUUUCUAAGUCUGAUGUGAAAGCCUUCGGCUUAACCGGAGAAGUGCAUCGGAAACUGGAUAACUUGAGUGCAGAAGAGGGUAGUGGAACUCCAUGUGUAGCGGUGGAAUGCGUAGAUAUAUGGAAGAACACCAGUGGCGAAGGCGGCUACCUGGUCUGCAACUGACGCUGAGACUCGAAAGCAUGGGUAGCGAACAGG